CCGUAACUAUAACGGUCCUAAGGUAGCGAAAUUCCUUGUCGGGUAAGUUCCGACCUGCACGAAUGGCGUAAUGAUGGCCAGGCUGUCUCCACCCGAGACUCAGUGAAAUUGAACUCGCUGUGAAGAUGCAGUGUACCCGCGGCAAGACGGAAAGACCCCGUGAACCUUUACUAUAGCUUGACACUGAACAUUGAGCCUUGAUGUGUAGGAUAGGUGGGAGGCUUUGAAGUGUGGACGCCAGUCUGCAUGGAGCCGACCUUGAAAUACCACCCUUUAAUGUUUGAUGUUCUAACGUAGGCCCCUUAUCGGGGUUGCGGACAGUGUCUGGUGGGUAGUUUGACUGGGGCGGUCUCCUCCUAAAGAGUAACGGAGGAGCACGAAGGUUGGCUAAUCCUGGUCGGACAUCAGGAGGUUAGUGCAAUGGCAUAAGCCAGCUUGACUGCGAGCGUGACGGCGCGAGCAGGUGCGAAAGCAGGUCAUAGUGAUCCGGUGGUUCUGAAUGGAAGGGCCAUCGCUCAACGGAUAAAAGGUACUCCGGGGAUAACAGGCUGAUACCGCCCAAGAGUUCAUAUCGACGGCGGUGUUUGGCACCUCGAUGUCGGCUCAUCACAUCCUGGGGCUGAAGUAGGUCCCAAGGGUAUGGCUGUUCGCCAUUUAAAGUGGUACGCGAGCUGGGUUUAGAACGUCGUGAGACAGUUCGGUCCCUAUCUGCCGUGGGCGCUGGAGAACUGAGGGGGGCUGCUCCUAGUACGAGAGGACCGGAGUGGACGCAUCACUGGUGUUCGGGUUGUCAUGCCAAUGGCACUGCCCGGUAGCUAAAUGCGGAAGAGAUAAGUGCUGAAAGCAUCUAAGCACGAAACUUGCCCCGAGAUGAGUUCUCCCUGACCCUUUAAGGGUCCUGAAGGAACGUUGAAGACGACGACGUUGAUAGGCCGGGUGUGUAAGCGCAGCGAUGCGUUGAGCUAACCGGUACUAAUGAACCGUGAGGCUUAACCUUACAACGCCGAAGGUGUUU
This 1015-nucleotide ribosomal RNA is filed under the name Escherichia coli. Its description in RNAcentral is "partial 23S ribosomal RNA". It matches the Rfam family "Bacterial large subunit ribosomal RNA", at positions 1934 to 2925 of the family's 2925-position model. The record is from RNAcentral. Lineage: Bacteria; Pseudomonadati; Pseudomonadota; Gammaproteobacteria; Enterobacterales; Enterobacteriaceae.